Molecule: ribosomal RNA, 631 nt
Filed under: uncultured bacterium
Lineage: Bacteria
Description: bacterial SSU rRNA
Rfam family: Bacterial small subunit ribosomal RNA
Source: RNAcentral
CGCGGCCUAUCAGCUUGUUGGUGGGGUAACGGCCCACCAAGGCGACGACGGGUAGCCGGCCUGAGAGGGCGACCGGCCACACUGGGACUGAGACACGGCCCAGACUCCUACGGGAGGCAGCAGUGGGGAAUAUUGCACAAUGGGCGAAAGCCUGAUGCAGCGACGCCGCGUGAGGGAUGACGGCCUUCGGGUUGUAAACCUCUUUCAGCAGGGACGAAGCGAAAGUGACGGUACCUGCAGAAGAAGCACCGGCCAACUACGUGCCAGCAGCCGCGGUAAUACGUAGGGUGCAAGCGUUGUCCGGAAUUAUUGGGCGUAAAGAGCUCGUAGGCGGUCUGUCACGUCGGCUGUGAAAACCUAGGGCUCAACCCUGGGCCUGCAGCCGAUACGGGCAGACUAGAAUUCGGUAGGGGAGACUGGAAUUCCUGGUGUAGCGGUGAAAUGCGCAGAUAUCAGGAGGAACACCGGUGGCGAAGGCGGGUCUCUGGGCCGAUAUUGACGCUGAGGAGCGAAAGCGUGGGGAGCGAACAGGAUUAGAUACCCUGGUAGUCCACGCCGUAAACGUUGGGAACUAGGUGUGGGCCACAUUCCACGUGGUCUGUGCCGCAGCUAACGCAUUAAGUUCCCCGCC